GAUGAAGAACGUAGUGAAAUGCGAUAAGUAAUGUGAAUUGCAGAAUUCAGUGAAUCAUCGAAUCUUUGAACGCACCUUGCACCCUUUGGUAUUCCGAAGGGUAUGCUCGUUUGAGUGUCAUUGUACUCUCACACUUCUAAUUCCUUUCGGGAUUGGGAGCGGUGGACUUGGGUGUUGCUGCUUUAGUUGUGGCUCACCUCAAAUAAGUUAGUGCAACUCUUGGUUGGACAUAGUACGGCGUGAUAAGUGUCUUCGCCGGCACCUCAUAAGAGGGUGGCCGAUCAGGAGCUCUGUGCUUUCAAACUGUCUUCGGACAAUCUCUGACAACUUGACCUCAAAUCGAGUAGGACUACCCGCUGAACUUAAGCAUAUCAAUAAGCGGAGUA
This 386-nucleotide unclassified non-coding RNA is filed under the name soil metagenome. Its description in RNAcentral is "partial contains 5.8S ribosomal RNA, internal transcribed spacer 2, and large subunit ribosomal RNA". The stretch from base 1 to 120 matches the Rfam family "5.8S ribosomal RNA", at positions 35 to 154 of the family's 154-position model. The record is from RNAcentral.